RNAcentral lists this long non-coding RNA (2048 nucleotides) under Olea europaea (common olive). RNAcentral describes it as "long non-coding RNA (OEUR_LNC014745)". Lineage: Eukaryota; Viridiplantae; Streptophyta; Magnoliopsida; Lamiales; Oleaceae. The record is from RNAcentral.
AAAUACCUCGACUGAGUUAAUGAAUGGCAAUGGAGCUCUUUCUCCAUGUACACUAGUUACCCUUAGAGACCACUUCGCAUAUUUUCUCUCUGCAAAAGCACCAAGUAAAACUACAAAUUGAACAUACUUGUUGAAUGGAUGAACGUCAAUUGGAUGAAAGUUAAAAGACCAAAACUAAUCACUGUGCUAUUGUUUAUAGAACUUUAUUAACAGAAUGAAGUAAUUACAACAGUAUUUCUCUUUCUUCACAAAGCAGUUUACAAAUUAUUGAGUCAGUUCAUCUAAAAGCUUAAGGUGUCAAAUGGCACACGUUUAUCAUUUAUAUAUUAUCUUCAUCACAAAUAUUUUCAUUGGGGGAUAGAAGAAAUAUUACAUAAUAUGUAUGGAAUAAGCAGCCAAAAAUAGAUGCAAUGAAUGAUCCAUACUGGAAUUAUAGGUGUAAGGCAUCUGGGGUAUUCUAAUUGCUAAGAAUUGGUGGAAACAAGUGGGAAUUAGAAGCUCUAGAGCUUAUUUUCGCUCUGAUUAACAAUCACCUCCGUACUACACGAGCUUUUUACAACCCUGAUAAUUAAUAAGGAGGUAUAUGACGAGAAAAAAGAAAAAUGAAUAAUGUACGACUGCCAUUCUCCCUUCACUCUUGCUAUAGUGUAAAAAUCACUUUCUCUUAAAUACCAUCAUGGUUUCCACUGGCCCAUACUCCAUAUCCAUUUCACCCUUCAAAUACAGCUCAGCACAAGCACCUAAUUUACAAAACAGUCCACCAUCACAAUCCUUAUACCAAAUUUUUGCUCUUUCCAAAACCUCUCUCUCUUCACUGUGAUCAUAACCAUGCACUCCACCAUGUUGGCAUGAUAGCGAGUGCUACAAAGAGAGGGCCUUCUGUUCAGUUUCAACAUUAGGCAAUCAAACUCUGCCCAAAAUUAAUUUCACUAGUUUAUAAACCCCUCCUAGAGCAAAAUGAUUUAGCCAGUCAACGGAAACCUUCCUCCCCAGUCCCUCACUUAUUUCCUUUAACUUCAAAGCAAUUGCAAAUAAAGCAUUAUCAGAAGCAGAAAUGUCUGUGUCUUGAAGUAUAGACUGUCGUGCAUCUUAGUCUUCACUUCACCAACUCAGGAAAUUGUAACUUCUAAUAUCAUAGUAUGGUACGGAACGAUGAGAAUUGGAUAGAACUCUCAUAUAUUGAUUUAGGAUUAUGGACGUGACGUGGAUAGUAUUUUCAGUUGGUGGUGUUGGAAAAACCUGGUGGUUACAUUGAUAAUGGUUUUGGAGGCAAAAUUGGUGGUCGGUGAUGGGUCGGAGUGAUGGAGAUACAGAUAAAGAUAGAAUAGAAUUAGAAGUUAGAUAGAACUUUAAAAUAAGAGUUUAAUUCAUAUUGUGAAUGUUUAGAUUAGAUUUAGUUAGGUAUAAAGUUAUAACUAAUUAUUAGUUCUUCUAGUUUUAGUUAUUUGCUUUCUAUGUAGAGGGGUAAAUUCAUUGUAAUAUUCAACUCUUGAUUAUAUGAAUAAAUGGAUAUCUUCUUUUGCCUUCAAUUCUUCUCUUCUUUGCACCUCUUUCUUUUCUUAAUCUUCACUUGUUCGUUGUCAAGCAACUAAUCUAAAACUAAAAGAACUUCAAAUAAGCUAUAACUUUAUAACAAUAUUAAACCUAACUGAAUAUAAUCUAAACAAUCAUAAUAUCUAACUUCUAAUUCUAUUUUAUGUGAAUCUGUAUCUCCAUCAGGGAGUGAUGCAAAUUUUGUAGUUCGCAAGUGAUACAGGUCAAUUUGGUAGAGCAACAGUGAAUUUAGAGGUAGGGUUGACAGGGGGUCAUUGCAGUGGUAAUAGUACUGUGCAGUUGAGUAAGUGGAGGAAGUGAGACUUUAUGAAAAAGAUGUUCCUAAUUUGAGUAAUAUAAUUGUUAAAAUGAAAAAGGCUCGCAAAAGCGUGUGCAUUUGGAAUAAGUAUUUGAAAUAAACUCAAAUUGGAAAGCAAGACAUUUGAACUUGAAUUGACGAGAGUACCAUUUUUGAGUUGUCAUGGACUUGUCAUAAUAGUCUAAUGUGAGUGGAC